UUGAGCUUGCCUUGUGCUGGGGUGUAGGGCCACUGUGAGCUCACGGUACGGCGGUGGAGACAAGCAAGCACGCACGCACAAUUCCCGCAAGGUGUACCCAGGUGUUUCGGGAGCUCAGAAGAGAUAAUGACUAACUCUUCCUUUGGGGAGAGGCUGUGGCCGUGGCUUAGCUUUUCAACUGGAUCAUAAAGGAUUUUACAUUCUGCUUGGAGAAACAGACAAUAAUAAAUGCAGUAUGUACACAGGAACUCACAGUUUAUGGGCCCUCCAGCCUACCCAGUCCCAGGCACCUGGAAGAAGUUCUCCACGUGUUCCCUUGGGGCCUCCUCCCGGAGUGCUGGGUACGUGUAUUUGCCCAUCAUGUCAUAAAUGGACUUCAUGAUGUCAAGCAUUUCCUGUUAGGCCAAGAGAAAAGAAGAUCCCUCCUCAGAGCCUCCAGCCUCCAGACCAAGAGCCCCAGGGCCUAGGGCAGACCACACCCCUUGCUGGUGGUAUGUGGGUCAUGUUUCCCUCCCAUGGCCCUUUGCAUCACCCCCACCCCCACAACCCCCCAGCCCUUCAGUUGCCCUGCACCUCCUUGGUGAUACAGCCAUCCUUGUUGAGGUCAUACAGGUUGAAGGCCCAAUUCAGCCUGUCAUCUACCGUUCCCCGAAGAAUAACCGACAAACCAGCCACAAAGUCCUAGAAAGGAGGCGGGGGGCACUGUGUCUUCAGAUACUCUUCACCCAACCCUUUCUUUGGGUUUGGCCUGGAGAUCCUGGCCCUGAAGUCCCAGGAGACAGGGUUCCCUGGUCCACCUCCCCCAGCUCACCUCAAAACUGACAGAGCCAUCAUGGUUGGUGUCAAAGGCAUUGAAGAGAAAAGUGGCAUAGGUGCUGGAGUCUGUAGGAUGAGUGUGGAGAAGUAAGCUUGGCUUCCAGACAGGAGAGGACUUCCCACCUUUAUGGCACUCCCCCAACCCCCUCAUCAUUGUGGCAUUCCCAGCCCUCCAGAACGCUGUCUCCCACUCAGCCUAGAGAUGGACGGCUGCUUCCCCUUGGGCCUUGUCCCCUCACCUCCUUGAGGAAAGAACUGGGAGUAAAUCUGCUUGAAGUUCUCCUCACUGACAAUUCCGCUGGGGCAUUCCUGGGAGGGGAGGGGAAUCUGGAUGAGGGCAGAGACAAAACCCCCUUCUGCUCACUGGCUCCCCCACUUCAUGGCCAGAGACUCCCAGAGAAAGAGGGAAAAUUUUCAUGCCUCCAGGGACUCACCAGCUCUAAUGAUGGGAGCCAAGACUUCUUCCCCAGACCAGAAAUAAAAAACACAGAGCUAAAAAAA
Molecule: long non-coding RNA, 1317 nt
Organism: Lemur catta (Ring-tailed lemur)
Lineage: Eukaryota; Metazoa; Chordata; Mammalia; Primates; Lemuridae
Exons: 3
Source: RefSeq, a predicted model, not a curated record